Small nuclear RNA from Ictidomys tridecemlineatus (thirteen-lined ground squirrel), 108 nucleotides. NCBI's taxonomy places the organism in Eukaryota, Metazoa, Chordata, Mammalia, Rodentia, Sciuridae. The record is from Ensembl.
GUGCUGGCUUCAACAGUACAUAUACUAAAAUUGAAAUGAUACAUGAAGAUUAGCAUCACCCCUGCCCAAAGAUGAUGACAAAUUAACAAAGAGAAUAAAGAAGAGUUC